GUGGGGAAUAUUGCGCAAUGGGGGAAACCCUGACGCAGCGACGCCGUGUGAGGGAAGAAGGCUUUCGGGUCGUAAACCUCUGUCAGAAAGGAAGAACCUCCCAAGUCCGAAUAGGGCUUGGGACUGACGGUACUUUCAAAGGAAGCACCGGCUAACUCCGUGCCAGCAGCCGCGGUAAUACGGAGGGUGCAAGCGUUAAUCGGAAUCACUGGGCGUAAAGCGCGCGUAGGCCGCUUUGUAAGUCGGACGUGAAAGCCCUCGGCUCAACCGGGGAACUGCGUUCGAUACUGCGAGGCUUGAGUCCUGGAGAGGGUGGCGGAAUUCCGGGUGUAGGAGUGAAAUCCGUAGAUAUCCGGAGGAACACCGGUGGCGAAGGCGGCCACCUGGACAGGUACUGACGCUGGGGCGCGAAAGCGUGGGGAGCAAACAGGAUUAGAAACCCGUGUAGUCC
RNAcentral lists this ribosomal RNA (451 nucleotides) under uncultured bacterium. Its description in RNAcentral is "partial 16S ribosomal RNA". It matches the Rfam family "Bacterial small subunit ribosomal RNA", at positions 354 to 796 of the family's 1533-position model. The record is from RNAcentral.